RNAcentral lists this ribosomal RNA (491 nucleotides) under uncultured bacterium. Its description in RNAcentral is "partial 16S ribosomal RNA". It matches the Rfam family "Bacterial small subunit ribosomal RNA", at positions 28 to 508 of the family's 1533-position model. The record is from RNAcentral.
GAUGAACGCUAGCGAUAGGCUUAACACAUGCAAGUCGAGGGGCAGCAUGGUCUUAGCUUGCUAAGGCUGAUGGCGACCGGCGCACGGGUGCGUAACGCGUAUGCAACUUGCCUCACAGAGGGGGAUAACCCGUCGAAAGACGGACUAAUACCGCGUACACUCUAUGUUGGGCAUCCAAUGUAGAGGAAAUGAAAUUCGCUGUGAGAUAGGCAUGCGUCCCAUUAGCUAGUUGGUGAGGUAACGGCUCACCAAGGCGACGAUGGGUAGGGGAACUGAGAGGUUGAACCCCCACACUGGUACUGAGACACGGACCAGACUCCUACGGGAGGCAGCAGUGAGGAAUAUUGGUCAAUGGGCGAGAGCCUGAACCAGCCAAGUCGCGUGAAGGAUGACUGUCUUAUGGAUUGUAAACUUCUUUUAUACGGGAAUAACAAGAGUCACGUGUGGCUCCCUGCAUGUACCGUAUGAAUAAGCAUCGGCUAACUCCGUGC